GACGAACGCUGGCGGCGUGCUUAACACAUGCAAGUCGAAUGGAAAGGCCCUGCUUUUGUGGGGUGCUCGAGUGGCGAACGGGUGAGUAACACGUGAGUAACCUGCCCUUGACUUUGGGAUAACUUCAGGAAACUGGGGCUAAUACCGGAUAGGAGCUCCUGCUGCAUGGUGGGGGGUGGGAAAGUUUCGGCGGUGGGGGAUGGACUCGCGGCUUAUCAGCUUGUUGGUGGGGUAGUGGCUUACCAAGGCUUUGACGGGUAGCCGGCCUGAGAGGGUGACCGGCCACAUUGGGACUGAGAUACGGCCCAGACUCCUACGGGAGGCAGCAGUGGGGAAUAUUGCACAAUGGGCGGAAGCCUGAUGCAGCAACGCCGCGUGCGGGAUGACGGCCUUCGGGUUGUAAACCGCUUUCGCCUGUGACGAAGCGUGAGUGACGGUAAUGGGUAAAGAAGCACCGGCUAACUACGUG
This 469-nucleotide ribosomal RNA is filed under the name uncultured bacterium. RNAcentral's name for it is "partial 16S ribosomal RNA". It matches the Rfam family "Bacterial small subunit ribosomal RNA", at positions 28 to 507 of the family's 1533-position model. The record is from RNAcentral.